UACAGAGGUGGCAAGCGUUGCUCGGAAUCACUGGGCGUAAAGGGUGCGUAGGCGGGUCUUUAAGUCAGGGGUGAAAUCCUGGAGCUCAACUCCAGAACUGCCUUUGAUACUGAAGAUCUUGAGUUCGGGAGAGGUGAGUGGAACUGCGAGUGUAGAGGUGAAAUUCGUAGAUAUUCGCAAGAACACCAGUGGCGAAGGCGGCUCACUGGCCCGGUACUGACGCUGAGGUGCGAAAGCGUGGGGAGCAAACAGG
Molecule: ribosomal RNA, 253 nt
Filed under: uncultured bacterium
Lineage: Bacteria
Description: partial 16S ribosomal RNA
Rfam family: Bacterial small subunit ribosomal RNA
Source: RNAcentral